Molecule: ribosomal RNA, 328 nt
Filed under: Limnebius papposus
Lineage: Eukaryota; Metazoa; Arthropoda; Insecta; Coleoptera; Hydraenidae
Description: partial 12S ribosomal RNA
Source: RNAcentral
UACUUGAAAAUUAAAAAAUUUGGCGGUAUUUUAGUCUUUUCCGAGGAACUUGUUCUAUAAUCGAUAGUCCACGAUUUAAUCAAUUUAUUUUAGUUAGUUUAUAUAUCAUCGUAGUUUGAAUAUUUUAUAAGAAUUUAAUAUUCAAUAAUUUUUAUUUAAAAAUAAAUCAGAUCAAGGUAUAGCUUAUAAAUAAAAAGAAAUGAGUUACAAUAAAAAUAUUUUUGGUUUAAUAAUUGAAAAUUAUUAAUAAAUUGGAUUUGAAAGUAAUAAAAUUAAUUUAAUUUUUAUGAUUUAGCUCUAAAAUAUGCACACAUCGCCCGUCGCUCUU